ACUCCUACGGGAGGCAGCAGUGGGGAAUCUUGGACAAUGGGGGCAACCCUGAUCCAGCCAUGCCGCGUGGGUGAAGAAGGCCUUAGGGUUGUAAACCCCUUUCAGCGGGGAAGAUAAUGACGGUACCCGCAGAAGAAGCCCCGGCUAACUCCGUGCCAGCAGCCGCGGUAAUACGGAGGGGCUAGCGUUGUUCGGAAUUACUGGGCGUAAAGCGCGCGUAGGCGGACUUUCAAGUCAGGGGUGAAAUCCCGAGGCUCAACCUCGGAACUGCCUCUGAUACUGUAAGUCUUGAGUCCGAGAGAGGUGAGUGGAAUUCCUAGUGUAGAGUGAAAUUCGUAGAUAUUAGGAAGAACACCAGUGGCGAAGGCGGCUCACUGGCUCGGUACUGACGCUGAGGCGCGAAAGCGUGGGGGAGCAAACAGGAUUAGAUACCCUGGUAGGCUC
RNAcentral lists this ribosomal RNA (444 nucleotides) under uncultured bacterium. RNAcentral's name for it is "bacterial SSU rRNA". It matches the Rfam family "Bacterial small subunit ribosomal RNA", at positions 335 to 797 of the family's 1533-position model. The record is from RNAcentral.